RNAcentral lists this long non-coding RNA (1069 nucleotides) under Mytilus galloprovincialis (Mediterranean mussel). Lineage: Eukaryota; Metazoa; Mollusca; Bivalvia; Mytilida; Mytilidae. The record is from RNAcentral.
UCGUUGUAUCUUGAUGUUUAAGCCAAAAAAAUGUAUUUAUAUUUGGUUUUGAUAUUCCAGUUAUAUACAAUUUAUUCCAAAUCAUUGGCAAUGUAACAUUCUUUAAAUCCAGUAAAGAAAAAAACUUUUAACUUGGAAUUAAAAUCUUUAAAAUAGGCACAAUGUGAUACUUGUGACCUGUACACCAUCUACAUGGUUUCCACAUUUUAACCUACUUUAGUGGGCUAAAAUCAAUAAAGUACUUCCUUUCAAGUCAUGCAUGGUAAAAGUUUACUUCUCCUUUGACAAGUUUAUUGCGUUUCUGAUAAGUGUUUGCAGAACAUGAAUAAAAAAUAUUAAUUAAAAACUGUGACAAAGAUUCCAACUUUGUACAUUCCAAGUGUAACGGUAUAUUAACAUGUAUUUUUUAUUAAAUUAUAUUUAUUCACCUAAAAUAUCCAGUAAUAUUUACUGCUGAAGUUAAAUCAAUCCAACGAGCAUUGGUACAAUGAUAAGAGACGUAAUUUCGAUUGAUUUUUCCAAGGACUCUUCACGUCAUUAUCGGGAAACGAAGUGUGUUCUAGUCAUUGGGCAUUUAUUUUCACACAGGAUCGUAUGUAACAUUAUGCACAUAGGAAAAAUAACAGACCACCGGCGCAAUCUCUUUGACAAUUGUAUUUUCCUCUUUUAAACAAGACGAAACAAGUCUACAGAUUAUGUUUGCUAACAUCCCGUUGGAAACAAAAACAAUGUUUAGACCUAGUAUUUCGUACAUCCGGCCGUAAUGGCGUUAUCACAUGUUAGUCACAUGUUUCACGUAUGACCGGAAAUGAUUAGAACUUAAGGACAAAAACAAUUUUAAUAAAUAACUGGACUUCUGUUUCGUGUGAAAUGUAACGCAUAACGAUAACGUAAUUUUCUUACUUAAUUAUUACGAAGAUCAAAACAAGAAUGUAAAUCAUCUCGGAUUUACCUGUUUGAACAUCUCGCGAGAGUUCAUAUUUGCAUAUUGUUUUUAAGAAUUCUAUUACAACAAAGCAGAUUACAUCAUCUAAAAAUUGCGUUACGAAAUCGGACACAAAAAUCACGC